UUGGGAAUCUUGCACAAUGGGGGAAACCCUGAUGCAGCGACGCCGCGUGGAGGAUGAAGGCCCUAGGGUUGUAAACUCCUUUUUCGGGAAAGCGGUACCCGAAGAAUAAGCUCCGGCUAACUACGUGCCAGCAGCCGCGGUAAGACGUAGGGAGCAAGCGUUGUCCGGAUUUACUGGGCGUAAAGCGCGCGUAGGCGGUCUGCUAAGUGUGAAGUGAAAUCUCAGUGCUCAACACGGAAACUGCUUUACAUACUGGCAGGCUAGAGGAAUGCAGAGGUUUGUGGAAUUCCCGGUGUAGCGGUGAAAUGCGUUGAUAUCGGGAGGAACACCCAUGGCGAAGGCAGCAAACUGGGCAUUAUCUGACGCUGAGGCGCGAAAGCGUGGGUAGCAAACAGGAUUAGAUACCCCUGUAGU
Molecule: ribosomal RNA, 414 nt
Filed under: uncultured bacterium
Lineage: Bacteria
Description: bacterial SSU rRNA
Rfam family: Bacterial small subunit ribosomal RNA
Source: RNAcentral